AAGAGAUGAAAUUAAAAAAAAAAUAGAAGAGGAUUUUUAAUUUGUGUCAUCAUUCAACGGUUAAUGAAAGUUAUAGAUUUUUUUUUUGUGAGAGAAGGAAGUUAGUUUAUGAAUUGAUAACCAACAAAAGAUACUAAUCACUCAAGUUAUUUAUAAAAAAGAUAAAGGGUAAUUUUGGAACAAAAAUAGGCCACUCCAAAAACUUGUAUCCCCUUUAUAUAUAGUUUUCAACGGUUAAUGAAAGUUAUAGAUUUUUUUU
This 259-nucleotide long non-coding RNA is filed under the name Lathyrus oleraceus (garden pea). RNAcentral describes it as "Pisum sativum (pea) long non-coding RNA (PSAT_LNC012042)". The record is from RNAcentral. Lineage: Eukaryota; Viridiplantae; Streptophyta; Magnoliopsida; Fabales; Fabaceae.